This 508-nucleotide ribosomal RNA is filed under the name uncultured bacterium. Its description in RNAcentral is "partial 16S ribosomal RNA". It matches the Rfam family "Bacterial small subunit ribosomal RNA", at positions 28 to 523 of the family's 1533-position model. The record is from RNAcentral.
GACGAACGCUGGCGGCGCGCUUAACACAUGCAAGUCGAGCGAGAACCAGGGCUUCGGCCCUGGGGACAGCGGCGAGCGGGUGAGUAACACGUGGGUAAUCCACCCUCGGCACCGGAAUAGCCCGGGGAAACCCGGAUUAAUGCCGGAUGGCCCGCCGGCCCUGCGGGGCUGGCGGAAAAGGUAGCUUCGGCCUCCGGCCGAGGACGAGCCCGCGACGGAUUAGCUUGUGGGUGGGGUAACGGCCUACCAAGGCUGCGAUCCGUAGCUGGUUUGAGAGGACGAUCAGCCACACUGGGACUGAGACACGGCCCAGACUCCUACGGGAGGCAGCGGUGGGGAAUCUUGCGCAAUGGGCGAAAGCCUGACGCAGCGACGCCGCGUGAGGGAAGAAGGCCUUCGGGUUGUAAACCUCUUUCAGGGGGGACGAAGCCACUCGGGUUAAUAGCCCAGAGGGUGACGGUACCUCCAGAAGAAGCCCCGGCUAACUACGUGCCAGCCGCCGCGGUAA